Molecule: non-coding RNA, 30 nt
Filed under: Homo sapiens (human)
Lineage: Eukaryota; Metazoa; Chordata; Mammalia; Primates; Hominidae
Source: RNAcentral
UGCACACAAUCUUGGGUGACAGAUUGAGAC